This 157-nucleotide small RNA is filed under the name Papio anubis (olive baboon). Its description in RNAcentral is "Metazoan signal recognition particle RNA (ENSPANG00000045040.1)". It matches the Rfam family "Metazoan signal recognition particle RNA", at positions 96 to 252 of the family's 299-position model. From Rfam's summary of the family: The signal recognition particle (SRP) is a universally conserved ribonucleoprotein. The record is from Rfam by way of RNAcentral. Lineage: Eukaryota; Metazoa; Chordata; Mammalia; Primates; Cercopithecidae.
UGCUGACCGGGUGCCUGCACUAAGUUCGGCAUCAGUAUGGCGACCUCCUGGGAGCGGGGGGCCACCAAGUUGCCUAAGGAUGGCUGAACUGGCCCAGAUCAGAAACGGAGCAGGUCAGAACUCCCGCACUGACCAGUAGUGGGACUGUGCCUGGGCA